Molecule: unclassified non-coding RNA, 391 nt
Filed under: soil metagenome
Description: partial contains 5.8S ribosomal RNA, internal transcribed spacer 2, and large subunit ribosomal RNA
Rfam family: 5.8S ribosomal RNA (bases 1-122)
Source: RNAcentral
GAUGAAGAACGUAGCGAAAUGCGAUACUUGGUGUGAAUUGCAGAAUCCCGUGAACCAUCGAGUCUUUGAACGCAAGUUGCGCCCGAAGCCAUUAGGCCGAGGGCACGCCUGCCUGGGCGUCACACGUCGUUGCCCCCCCAUCUACUCCUUCGGGAUUGCGGGGGGCGGAUGAUGGCCUCUCGUGCGCCUCGUCGCGCGGUUGGCCCAAAUGCCAAGUCCUCGGCGACGCACGCCACGACAAUCGGUGGUUGCGAAACCUCGGUUGCCUGUCGUGUGCGGUCGUCGCGCAUCGAGGGCUCGAAAAAAUUGCCGGGCUUCGGCUCGACUUUCAACGCGACCCCAGGUCAGGCGGGGUUACCCGCUGAAUUUAAGCAUAUCAAUAAGCGGAGGA